ACCAACUCAGUGAGGGAAUAAUAAUUAAUAUACAUUUUAGAUAUUCUUGAUAUUAAUAGUUCGCAAGAUCCUUUAUCUUGAUAUACAUAUACAUAUACAUACUGAACAUAUCAUAUACAUAUCGUAUACAUACUAAACAUAUCAUCAUAACGUAGUGGACUACAUGUCAGAGAUCAGAUGACACCCAAAGGUGACCAGAUGACACCCGAAGGUGACCAGACCAGAUGACACCCGAAGGUGACCACUGUGGGAUGAUCAGUCGCCACAGGCUGAUGCCUCUCUCACCAGCUAGGUUUACAGAAUACUAUGUGCACAUAGGCUAACUACUCUCCGUUAGCAUGGAGUUACUGACAAGUCCCAUAUCAAGGCAUAAUAGAUAUUCACAUAAUCAUCAAAGAAACGUAUAUCAUAUCAAAUAGAAUUUACUUUGACAGAUUGCGAGUGCAAAUUCAAGAAUAAAUGAGUACUCGGAAAAUAAGCAACAUAUAUAAUUAUUCAAGAAAUUAACGAGUUGUACUCAUUGUAUAAUCAACAUACAUAUUUACUUAUCAUAUAUGCAUAUUAAAGAUUAUCCCACUCACCCGAAAAAUAUAGAACUAAAGGAAUGUCAGACGAAAGACCCGAAAAUCCUAUUGAGGAUUGUUAGGAGAACCUACAACAAUAUGAAAAAUACUCAAAAGCAACUCAAACAAGAGAUCCCAAUGCAUAAAAUAAAAUCAGGUUUAUUCUCCUAAGUUUAUGGACUAAAACGACAAUUUUCCAAAACAGGGACCAAAACGUAAUUUUACCAAAAUUGGACCAAUCUGGAAAAUGCAUAACUAUACUGAAUUUUCACCCAUAAACCAUCCUUAAUUCUGUCUAGAACGAACCAGGGACCGAACUGUAAUUUUCAUAAAGUUCAGGGACUAAAAUGUAAAUUCCCGAAAUUGAGGGACCAAACUAAAAAUAUUCCAAAUCAAUUAUCAAACUCAGAUUCAUCAUCCUUAACCUCAUAAUAACACUGUCCAGAAUCUCAAGAUACAAUUAGGGGUCAAAUUAUAAUUUUCCCAAAGUUUAGGGACUAAACUGUAAUUUCACAAAUUGAGGGACCAAAUUGAAUUUUCGUCAUCUUCAACCUCAAACCCAGAAUUUCACAGAUUACCUACUGUCAUCUCCUGAUUUCUAACACAAUUUCACCAUUCAAAUAAAAUCAUAACUCAAAAUCAUCAUCUUUACCUCUAAUCUUUCACAAUCAACUAAUUAACCAAUUACCCACAACAAUCAACCCAUAACCUUCCAAUUAAUUCAUCAAUCAAACUCAAAACACAAUAUUCAAAACCCUAACAUUUAUCAAAACAGAACUUAAAGCUUAAAGAACACAUAUUUAUACAUAAUCUUACCUUUAAACUUAUUUCCUCCAAUUCUCUUCUCCUUUCCUUAUCUUUCCCUCUUUUCUCUUCUUCCUCCCCUUUUCUUCUCUUCUCCCGUCAGUUUUCACUCUUAAAACACAGCCCUCUUCUUCUAUUUUCUUUUCUAUUUAUAUUUAUCAACUCUUUGUUCAAUUACUACAAUACCCCUUAUUCAUUUAUACUCAUUUUUAGCCUUCAAGGGCUUUAUUGCCUUUUACCUACUCAUUAAAUUUCAAAACAUCACAAUCUCCCCACCUUAUAAAAGUUUCGUCCUCGAAACUUAAACUUUAAGAAACGAAGUCUUACCAUCAAGUUCAAACAAGAAUGGAUACUUGUUGAGCAUUUCCUCCUCAAGCUCCCACGUCGCUUCUUCACGUGGGUGUUCGCUCCACACAACCUUAACCGAUGUGAUAUCCUUCGACCGAAGUUUUCUAACUUGUCGAUCCACUAUUUUUAUUGGUUGAACUUCGUAUGUCAUAUCUUUCCUCAGCUCAACCGGUUGUACUUCCAGCACAUGAGAUGGAUCAGACAAAUACUUCCUCAACAUCGAAACAUGGAACACUGGAUGUAUAGAGGAGAGAUUAGGUGGUAAGGCAAGCCGAUAUGCCACUACCCCUACUCUUUCCAAGAUCUCAAAGGGCCCUAUAAACUUAGGACUCAACUUUCCUUUCUUCCCAAACCUGAAUAUCCCUUUAAUCGAGGAGACUUUUAGGAACACGUUGUCACCCACUGAAAAUUCUAGAUUACGCCUUCUCUUAUCCGCAUAAUUCUUUUGCCUACUCUGAGCUGUUUGAAGCUUAUCUCGGAUCACCUUAAUCUUAUCCGAAGUAAUCUGUAUUAACUCGGGACCCAUUAAUCUCCUCUCACCAACCUCAUACCAACAUACAGGUGAUCUACACUUCCGGCCAUACAAGGCCUCAUAUGGGGCCAUAUCAAUGCUCGCUUGAUAACUAUUAUUAUAUGCAAACUCCACCAAAGAUAAGUACUUGCUCCAUCCAACACCAAAGUCAAUCACAUAAGCUCUCAACAUAUCCUCUAAAAUUUGUAUAGUCCUCUCAGAUUGUCCAUCUGUCUGAGGAUGAAAAGCAGUACUUAACUGAACGUUAGUCCCCAAAGCUUCCUGAAACUUCACCCAAAACCGAGAAGUGAAUUGUGGACCUCUGUCGGACACAAUUGAGAUCGGCACACCAUGCAACCUUACGAUCUCGUUAACAUAGAUUUCUGCUAGUUUUGCAAACCCAUAUGUCACCUUUACUGGCAAGAAAUGAGCUGACUUGGUCAAACGAUCAACUAUUACCCAAACCGAAUCAUAACCCUCCUGACUCCGAGGCAAACCUGACACAAAAUCCAUAGUGAUCCUCUCCCAUUUCCAUUCAGGAAUUAACAAUGGCUGCAAAAGCCCUGGUGGUUUCUGAUGCUCACCUUUAACCCUCUGACAGGUCAAGCAUCGAGCUACAAACUCAGCAAUGUCCCUCUUCAUACCAUUCCACCAAUAACACUCUUUCAAGUCUCUAUACAUCUUGUUAGAACCAGGAUGUAUAGUAUAGGCAGUUUGAUGUGCUUCCGUCAUCACAUCUCUUUUCAAAUCAUCCACCUCAGGCACGCAUAACCUGGAACCAAAUCUCAACACACCAUCUUCAUGGAUAACAAAACCCGGAGCUCUCCCUAACUCCAACUCAUCUCGAAUCUUGCAAAGUCGCUCAUCCUUCAUUUGAGCUCCUUUAAUCCGGUCUACUAAGUCUGACUUAGCCUGAAAGUGAGCCAACAAUGCUCCCGAUUCACAAAUCUCAAAACUGACCCUCUCAUCUAACAAUCCGUGUAACUCUUUAAUCAAGGGUCUCCUCACCUCCUGAAUAUGAGCCAAACUACCCAUAGAUUUUCUGCUUAAGGCAUCGGCAACAACAGGGUGAUAUUGAAUCGUGCAAUCAUAAUCACUUAACAAUUCCAUCCACCUUCUCUGUCUCAAAUUCAGAUCCUUCUGCUGGAAGAUAUAUUGAAGACUCUUAUGAUCUGAAAAUAUCUCACAUGUCUCCCCAUACAAGUAGUGUCUCCAAAUCUUAAGGGCAAACACUACCGCAGCCAUCUCCAAAUCAUGUGUGGGGUAAUUUUGCUCGUGCUUCUUCAACUUUCUCGAGGCAUAAGCAAUCACAUUACCAUUCUGCAUCAAAACACAACCCAAACCAAUCCUGGAUGCAUCACAGUACACGGUAAAACCACCAGACCCUGAAGGUACUGUCAAAAUUGGAGCCGUAAUUAACCUUUCCUUCAACUCCAGGAAACUCUUCUCACAUUCUUCUGACCAUUGAAACUUGACACUUUUCUGUGUCAACUUCGUCAACGGAGCAGCGAUUCGGGAAAAAUUCUCCACGAAUCUCCUGUAGUAUCCUGCUAAACCCAGGAAACUCCUAAUCUCAGAUACCGUAACUGGUCUAGGCCACUGCUUAACUGCCUCCACUUUCUGUGGAUCAACCUCUAUCCCAUUUUUAGACACCACAUGUCCCAAAAACCCAAUACUCUCUAACCAAAACUCACUCUUCGAGAACUUUCCAUACAACUGAUGAUCUCGCAGAGUUUGAAGCACCAUUCUCAAAUGCUGCUCAUGCUCUUCUCUAGACCUCGAAUACACCAAAAUGUCAUCAAUGAACACAAUAACAAACUUAUCAAUAAACGGCCUAAAAACCCUGUUCAUCAUGUCCAUAAAAGCUGCAGGUGCAUUCGUUAACCCAAAAGACAACACUAGGAACUCGUAAUGCCCAUAACGAGUCCUAAAGGCAGUUUUAGGAAUAUCCUCAUUCCUAAUCCUCAACUGGUGAUACCCCGAUCGCAAAUCAAUCUUUGAGAAACAUUGAGCUCCUUGUAAUUGAUCAAAAAGAUCAUCAAUGCGAGGAAGUGGGUAUCUAUUCUUAACAGUGACCUUGUUCAACUGUCUAUAGUCUAUACACAUCCUCAUUGAUCCAUCCUUCUUCUUUACAAAUAAAACAGGUGCUCCCCACGGAGACACACUUGGACGAAUAAACCCCUUAUCUAACAAAUCUUGAAUCUGCUCCUUCAACUCUUUUAAUUCUGCUGGCGCCAUCCUGUAAGGUGCCAUAGAGAUUGGUUUUGUUCCUGAAACUAGAUCAAUACAGAACUCGAUUUCCCUAUUGGGAGGUAGUCCAGGUAAGUCAUCGGGAAAAACAUCGAUGAAUUCCUUAACUAUCGAAACUUGUUCCAUCCUCGGGACCUUCAUGUUCACAUCAUGCACAUAAGCCAAAAACCCUUGCAUACCCUUUCGUACCAUCCUUCUCGUGAUGGCCGAGAGAAUACUAGAUGGAGAUGAUAACCCAUCUCCAUGAAAAGCAAACUCCGUCUCCUCAUCAGGCUUGAAAAUCACUGUCUUAUUCCAACAAUCAACUGAGGCAUGGUGCCUUGAUAACCAAUUCAUACCUAGUAUCACAUCAAAACCUACUAUUUCUAAAAUUACCAAAUCGCCUAAUAGGUUUCUACCUUGCACUUGAACCUCACAAUCAACAUAAACAUAUUCCCCAAACAUAACGUCAUCCGAAGGGAUAGCUACACACAAAGGACUCUCUAACAAAAUAGGUUGUUUAGUAAACCUUAAAGCAAAAUAUGACGACACGAAAGAAUGAGUUGCCCCCGUGUCAAAUAACACUCUAGCCUCGAAGGAACAUAUUAAGAGUGUACCUGAGACAACAGUAUUGGAUGUCUGGGCAUCCUGCUGAGUAAUGGCAAAAACUCGUGCCUGUCUCUGACUUGUUGGCGCAAAACCUCUACCGCCUACUCCACGGCCCCGCUGGCCACGCCCACCAGCUCCACGACCACCCUGAAACACAGAAUGGCUAGCUGACUGAGUCUGAGUGGAAGAUGUAAUCGGUACAGAAGCACCAGGCUUGGACCACCGUUUGUUCGGACAAUCCCUUAACAAGUGAUCAGUCUGCCCGCAACCGAAACAAGCUCCUGUCUGCCUAUAACAGACUGUGCCAUAAUGCCUAGACCCACAAGACUGACAUUGAGGCCUCCCAUCUGAACCUUGUGGUGUUAACUGAACAGUACCUCGGCUCUGAGUCGGACCAGCUCCACUCAUGCUAUGUCUAUUGUUUCCUCUGAUAAUGGACCUCGACAAGAAAUUCCUUGACUGACUUAAUUGGCCCUGUCGGCCCCCAUGUCCCCUGCUAGGACCUGUAUCAGACCGCUGCUGAAAAGAGAACUGAUUUGCCACUUUGGGCCUCUUAACCGAACCCACUGAUAAUUCAUCCUCUAACUCUCGUGCCUCAAUAGCUCGGGCACGAUCCACUAUGGCCGAGUACGUCUUAAACUCAUGAGCCCCAAUAGCUUUGAAUAAGUAGCUAUUAAGACCUCGAACAAACCUCUUAAUCUUCCUCUCCUCAGUCGGUACCAAAUACCCGGCAAAUCUGGACAACCGUGUGAAUUCCACUUCAUACUCUGUCACACUCAAGUCACCCUGAACCAACUUUUCAAACUCAUAUGAUCUGGCUUCCCUCACACUUUCAGGUAGAAAACGUUCCAAAAACAUCUCAGAAAAUUCCUUCCACUCCAUCGGUGGCGAACUAACUGCCCUUUCACCCCUCUGAUAAUGGACCUCGACAAGAAAUUCCUUGACUGACUUAAUUGGCCCUGCCGGCCCCCAUGUCCCCUGCUAGGACCUGUAUCAGACCGCUGCUGAAAAGAGAACUGAUUUGCCACUUUGGGCCUCUUAACCGAACCCACUGAUAAUUCAUCCUCUAACUCUCGUGCCUCAAUAGCUCGGGCACGAUCCACUAUGGCUGAGUACGUCUUAAACUCAUGAGCCCCAAUAGCUUUGAAUAAGUAGCUAUUAAGACCUCGAACAAACCUCUUAAUCUUCCUCUCCUCAGUCGGUACCAAAUACCCAGCAAAUCUGGACAAUCGUGUGAAUUCCACUUCAUACUCUGUCACACUCAAGUCACCCUGAACCAACUUUUCAAACUCAUAUGAUCUGGCUUCCCUUACACUUUCAGGUAGAAAACGUUCCAAAAACAUCUCAGAAAAUUCCUUCCACUCCAUCGGUGGUGAACUAACUGCCCUUUCACCCCUCUUGGACUCAUACCAGUUCACAGCCACCUCUCCUUCUAGCCUGAAAGAUGCCAAAGUCACUGCACGAUGAUCCGUGCACCCCAUGGCCUCACACCUACGCCACACUGCAUCUAAAAACUGUUGUGGGUCCUCAGAGUUAUCAACACCCUUAAAAGUAGGAGGUGCCAGCUUAAGGAACUCUGACAAUGGUACUUUCACCCCAUGCACGGUAUGGGAAGUCGAAGAUGCAUUCUUAUCCUUCUCCUUCUCUCUCUCAGUUAAAAGGUCAGCCAGGGUCUGCAUGGCCUGUCCAAUCUUAUCCAAAGCACUGUCAGUAUAAGACACCCUAUCAUGGGAUUCCUGCUCCUGAUUCUUACCAACAUCCAGACCAUAGUCUCCCUCAAACUCCACCUCAUCCUGAACUUCUGCUUCCAUUGGUUGAGGCGAAGGGGUUCUAACCCUCUUUUUGCGCCUCUCCUUCCUAAGCUGAGCGAUAGGAAUGUCCUCUUGAUCAUUACCGACAUAUUCGGCAUUAACUACAUGCUUAGCUCUCGGCAUAUUUCCUAAAAGAAUGCAUUUACAUAUAUGUAUCAACAUAACUAUAAAGGAGUUUUAAGGAGGACACACCAAACACUAGAUUGGAGAAUUAUAAGAGGACUGACAUCAAGACAAGAUAGAUCCUAAGCUCCACAUAUUACGAGGGUUUUGAAAAAUAAAAAUGAAUAAAAUAGAUUACGAGGUUUUAAUAAAAACCGGGCUCUGAUACCACCUUUGUCACGACCCGAAUCCCGGGUCCAUGACCGGCAACGCAGGAGCGGUGCCGGAAGGACACCCCGCCCGCGCUAAGCCUCAAAACGGACAUAUCAAAAGAAUAAUUUAUUCAAAAAUACGCAGCAUUUCAUAAUCUUCAGAAAUCUUAUAUUAUUCAAAACUGAUGAAACCAAAAGAUAGUUUAAAACUCCUCAUCAGUAAUUAAAACAAAAACAAUAAUCCAUAAUACUCAUUACAUUGUCAAAAUCCAAACUUAAUCAAAACAAGGUAAUAGUGGAGCGCCUAAGACAUCGAAUCAAACAGCCUUGAAAGAUAAGCAAGGCAUACCGACUCAAAACUGAAGAAGCAGGAACACUCAACAAGGUUCACCUGCUAUCAGAAACUAAGAACCUGAAAUAAUAUUAAGAAUGAGGGGUGAGUUCAACCAACUCAGUGAGGGAAUAAUAAUUAAUAUACAUUUUAGAUAUUCUUGAUAUUUAUAGUUCGCAAGAUCAUUUAUCUUGAUAUACAUAUACAUAUACAUACUAAACUUAUCAUAUACAUAUCAUAUACAUACUAAACGUAUCAUCAUAACGUAGUGGACUAUAUGUCAGAGAUCAGAUAACACCCGAAGGUGACCAGAUGACACCCGAAGGUGACCAGACCAGAUGACACCCGAAGGUGACCACUGUGGGAUGAUCAGUCGCCACAGGCUGAUGCCUCUCUCACCAGCUAGGUAUACAUACAGAAUACUAUGUGCACACAGGCUAACUACUCUCCGUUAGCAUGGAGUUACUGACAAGUCCCAUAUCAAGGCAUAAUAGAUAUUCACAUAAUCAUCAAAGAAACGUAUAUCAUAUCAAAUAGGAUUUACUUUGACAGAUUGCGAGUGCAAAUUCAAGAAUAAAUGAGUACUCGGAAAAUAAGCAACAUAUAUAAUUAUUCAAGGAAUUAACGAGUUGUACUCAUUGUAUAAUCAACAUACAUAUUUACUUAUCAUAUAUGCAUAUUAAAGAUUAUUCCACUCACCCGGAAAAUAUAGAACUAAAAGGAAUGUCAGACGAAAGACCCGAAAAUCCUAUUGAGGAUCGUUAGGAGAACCUACAACAAUAUGAAAAUAUACUCAAAAGCAACUCAAACAAGAGAUCCCAAUGCAUAAAAUAAAACUAGGUUUAGUCUCCUAAGUUUAUGGACUAAAACGAUAAUUUUCCAAAACAGGGACCAAAACGUAAUUUUACCAAAAUUGGACCAAUCUGGAAAAUACAUAACUAUACUGAAUUUUCACCCAUAAACCAUCCUUAAUUCUGUCUAGAACGAACCAGGGACCGAACUGUAAUUUUCAUAAAGUUCAGGGACUAAAAUGUAAAUUCCCAAAAUUGAGGGACCAAACUGAAAAUAUUCCAAAUCAAUUAUCAAACUCAGAUUCAUCAUCCUUAACCUCAUAAUAACACUGUCCAGAAUCUCAAAAUACAAUUAGGGGUCAAAUUAUAAUUUUCCCAAAGUUUAGGGACUAAACUGUAAUUUCACAAAUUGAGGGACCAAAUUGAAUUUUCGUCAUCUUCAACCUCAAACCCAGAAUUUUACAGAUUACCUACUGUCAUCACCUGAUUUCUAACAUAAUUUCACCAUUCAAAUAAAAUCAUAACUCAAAAUCAUCAUAUUUACCUCCAAUCUCUCACAAUCAACUAAUUAACCAAUUACUCACAACAAUCAACCCAUAACCUUCCAAUUAAUUCAUCAAUCAAACUCAAAACACAAUAUUCAAAACCCUAAAAUUUAUCAAAACAGAAAUUAAGGCUUAAAGAACACACAUUUAUACAUAAUCUUACCUUUAAACUUAUUUCCUCCAACUCCUUUCCUUUUUCCCUUAUUUUCCCCUCUUUUCUCUUCUUCUUCUUUCUCCCUUCUCUCUCACGGUUUGCUCUCUCAAAUAUUCAGAUCUCUUCUUCUUUUUUUUUCUUUCUAUUUAUACUUAUCAUCUUUUUAUACAAUUACUACAAUACCCUUCAUUUAAUUAUACCAACUUUUAAGCCUCCAAGGGCUUUAUUGCCUUUUACCUACUCAUUAAAUU
This 9261-nucleotide long non-coding RNA is filed under the name Populus trichocarpa (black cottonwood). RNAcentral describes it as "long non-coding RNA (PTRI_LNC003555)". The record is from RNAcentral. Lineage: Eukaryota; Viridiplantae; Streptophyta; Magnoliopsida; Malpighiales; Salicaceae.